RNAcentral lists this ribosomal RNA (220 nucleotides) under uncultured fungus. RNAcentral describes it as "partial 18S ribosomal RNA". The stretch from base 47 to 220 matches the Rfam family "Eukaryotic small subunit ribosomal RNA", at positions 693 to 870 of the family's 1831-position model. The record is from RNAcentral. Lineage: Eukaryota; Fungi.
GGAUCAGUAGGUUGGUCGUGCCACGGGUAUGUACUGGCCUCACUGGUUCCUCCUUCUUGUAGAACUGUGAUGCCAUUAAUUUGGUGUUGCAGGGAAACAGGACUGUUACUUUGAAAAAUUAGAGUGUUUAAAGCAAGCUAACGCUUGAAUACAUUAGCAUGGAAUAAUGAAAUAGGACGUCGAUCCUAUUUUGUUGGUUUCUAGGAUUAACGUAAUGAUU